Molecule: ribosomal RNA, 301 nt
Filed under: uncultured bacterium
Lineage: Bacteria
Description: partial 16S ribosomal RNA
Rfam family: Bacterial small subunit ribosomal RNA
Source: RNAcentral
CAGUCGCCGCGGUAAAACGAAGGGGGCUAGCGUUGCUCGGAAUUACUGGGCGUAAAGGGAGCGUAGGCGGACAUUUAAGUCAGGGGUGAAAUCCCAGAGCUCAACUCUGGAACUGCCUUUGAUACUGGGUGUCUUGAGUGUGAUAGAGGUAUGUGGAACUCCGAGUGUAGAGGUGAAAUUCGUAGAUAUUCGGAAGAACACCAGUGGCGAAGGCGACAUACUGGAUCAUUACUGACGCUGAGGCUCGAAAGCGUGGGGAGCAAACAGGAUUAGAUACCCCUGUAGUCCCUGUCUCUUAUAC